Dama dama (fallow deer) is the source of this 431-nucleotide non-coding RNA. NCBI's taxonomy places the organism in Eukaryota, Metazoa, Chordata, Mammalia, Artiodactyla, Cervidae. The record is from the annotation of a RefSeq genome assembly.
GGCUCACCUCACCUUGCAAAGCCUUGACACUGAAGAAGAAGAUAUUUUCCAUCUAGUGGAUGAGCUGAAACAUGCUUCUCUCCAGCCUUCUGAAGGUGGUCGUGGCUUCACUGUGUUUCGGAUUCAGUAUUGCCCAGGAAGUAACUCAACACCAACCACCAAUGUCAGUGCAGGAGAAAGAAACUGUGACCCUGGAUUGCACAUACAACACCAGUGAUACAACUUAUAGUCUGUUCUGGUACAAGCAACACAGCAGUGGGGUGAUGACCUUCCUCAUUCGCCAGGACUCUCAUAACAAGCAAAAUGCCACAAAAGGCCGCUACUCAUUGAAUUUCCAGAAGGCAAGCAAAUUCAUCAAACUUACCAUCUCAGCUUCACAACUGGAGGACUCUGCAGUGUAUUUCUGUGCACUGAGGGAGCCCACAGAAUAA